RNAcentral lists this long non-coding RNA (1217 nucleotides) under Oreochromis niloticus (Nile tilapia). RNAcentral's name for it is "lncRNA (ENSONIG00000039446.1)". Lineage: Eukaryota; Metazoa; Chordata; Actinopteri; Cichliformes; Cichlidae. The record is from RNAcentral.
ACUGCCUGAUCAUGGCAACCUGCCAAAAAGUAUUCAGCCAAUGGGUUCUUUUAAGGAUACUGUCAAUUGUGGAGAGGCUGAUGCCAUUUAUAGCUCGAAAUGAUGAUCAUGCUCAGUCAGUGAGUGAGCAGAGUGUUUGUGACUUAUACGCACAAGUAUAAGCUCUUUAGUGGCACAUAGGAAUUCACAAUCAUUUCUAAAGGCAGAGGUCAAGGUUAGCUGCUUGAUUUAUACAGUUUUGACUGAAAACACAACUGUAGCACUGUUUCUGUGAACCAGAGAAGACAUGAAGUGUGGUUUCACCUCUAAAAACCAGGUCCACUGAGAUUUGAACUCAGAUCACUGGAUUCAAAGACCAUGGAACCACUGCUCAAAAAGAAGGCAUGACUGCCAGAUUGCGGCAUUAUGUCGACACCAUACCAGACUGAUAUAUAUAUGAUUGAUUGAUUGAUUGAUUGAGUGAGUGAGUGAGUUUGUCUCCACCUGCUGGGCGGCAGGAGUGUUUAGGGUGGAGGAUGUAGUUGCAAGUUGAGGUGGUGCAGGACAAGCAGAGCAGCAGGUUUGUGAGUGUUUUUGACGUCAAUUAAAAAGAUAAAUAAGGACUGAUGAGGCUGCUGUGUGAUGUAGAGACAGGUAUAAGGGUGUGUAUAAAGAUUGGGUCUCGCUGUAUUGCUCAGGCUGCGCUACAGCAUCUAUUCACAGGCGCGAUCCCACUACUGAGCGACACGGGGGUCUCGCUGUAUUGCUCAGGCUGCGCUACAGCAUCUAUUCACAGGCGCGAUCCCACUACUGAGCGACACGGGGGCUUUGACCUGCUCCGUCUCCGACCUGGGCCGGUGCACCCCUCCUUAGACGACCUGGUGGUGCCGGGCUCCCCAGGAUCACCAUAUCAAUGCCGAACUUAGUGCGGACACCCGAUCGACAUAGCCUGCUGCAGCUUAGAGCUCCUGAGCUCAAACGAUCCUCCAACCUCAGCCUCCCGGUAGCUUGGAUUACAGGCACGCGCCACCGCACCCGGCGAGAAGCAGCUGCGUUCACAGAAAGUUUUACUUCAUUCAUGUGAGCUCAUCAGGUUAGUGCCCAUCAUCAGCCAAGAUGAAAUGAUGUAAAAAACAAAAACAAAACAAAACAAAAAAACUCCUAAUCAUUUCAAAAUGAGGAAGUCAGCACAGUAAUAACAGGUUGUUGGUUUUUUGUUGUUGUUGUUUUGUUUUUUU